RNA transcript from Symphalangus syndactylus (siamang), 11942 nucleotides. It is a transcript of the gene named zinc finger and SCAN domain containing 12, with no coding region annotated. NCBI's taxonomy places the organism in Eukaryota, Metazoa, Chordata, Mammalia, Primates, Hylobatidae. The record is from RefSeq and is a predicted model, not a curated record.
GCUUCCGGCCUUUGUGGGUCACUUUUGAUGGGUUCCGGGUCCUAAAAGGGUUCGAGGCCUCCUGCCUUCGCUCCGUAGAAGGGAGUUCUCUUCUGGACCUGGGGGCCGCAGGACUGUCCAGGAAUACAUUUUCCAGGUGAGAUCUUACUUGAAACACCGGUAGUUCUAACACAGCUAAAAUGGCAUCUACUUGGGCUAUCCAGGCCCACAUGAACCAGGAUGAACCUUUGAAAGUAAAGAUACAGGAGGAGAAAUAUACCACCAAACAGGAUUGGGACCUGCAUAAAAACAACACCCAUAGCAGAGAGGUCUUCCGUCAGUACUUCAGACAGUUCUGCUACCAGGAGACAUCUGGUCCCCGUGAGGCUUUGAGCCGACUCCGAGAACUUUGCCAUCAGUGGCUGAGGCCAGAGACCCACACCAAAGAACAGAUUCUGGAGCUGCUGGUGCUGGAGCAGUUCCUGACCAUCCUACCUGAGGAGCUGCAGGCCUGGGUGCAGGAGCAGCAUCCAGAGAGUGGGGAGGAGGUGGUGACUGUGCUGGAGGAUUUAGAGAGAGAACUGGAUGAACCAGAAGAGCAGGUCUCAGCCCACACUGGGGAACAGGAAAUGUUCUUGCAGGAGAUGGUGCCUCUAGGAAAAGAAGGAGAACCCAGUAUGUCCCUCCAGUCCAUGAAAGCCCAGCCAAAGUAUGAGUCUCCAGAACCUGAAUCCCAACAGGAGCAAGUUUUAGAUGUUGAGACUGGAAAUGAGUAUGGGAAUUUAAAGCAAGAAGUUUCUGAAGAAAUGGAACCACAUGGGAAUACAUCCAGUAAAUUUGAAAAUGAUAUGUCCAAGUCUGCUAGGUGUGGAGAACCUCAUGAACCUGAAGAAAUAACAGAAGAGUCCUCUGCAUGCUCCAGAGAAGAUAAACAACCUACCUGUGAUGAAAACGGAGUAAGCCUGACUGAGAACUCUGACCAUACUGAACAUCAGAGAAUCUGUCCAGGAGAAAAAUCUUAUGGAUGUGAUGACUGUGGAAAAGCUUUUAGUCAGCACUUACACCUCAUAGAACAUCAGAGGAUCCAUACUGGAGACAGACCCUACAAAUGUGAAGAAUGUGGAAAAGCUUUCCGUGGGAGAACUGUGCUUAUUCGACACAAAAUAAUACACACUGGAGAGAAACCAUAUAAGUGUAAUGAGUGUGGCAAAGCCUUUGGCCGGUGGUCAGCUCUUAACCAACAUCAGAGACUUCACACAGGAGAAAAACACUAUCACUGUAAUGACUGUGGCAAAGCCUUUAGUCAGAAAGCAGGCCUCUUUCACCAUAUCAAGAUCCACACAAGAGACAAACCUUAUCAGUGUACUCAGUGUGAUAAAAGUUUUAGUCGGCGUUCCAUACUUACUCAGCAUCAAGGAGUUCAUACUGGCACGAAGCCCUAUGAGUGCAACGAGUGUGGAAAAGCCUUUGUUUAUAACUCAUCCCUUGUUUCCCAUCAGGAAAUCCACCACAAAGAAAAAUGCUAUCAGUGUAAGGAAUGUGGGAAAUCCUUCAGUCAGAGUGGCCUUAUUCAGCAUCAGAGAAUUCACACUGGGGAAAAACCCUACAAAUGUGAGGUAUGUGAAAAGGCCUUUAUUCAAAGGACAAGUCUUACAGAACAUCAGCGAAUUCACACUGGAGAAAGACCCUAUAAAUGUGAUAAGUGUGGGAAGGCAUUUACUCAAAGAUCGGUCCUCACGGAACAUCAGAGAAUCCACACUGGAGAAAGGCCCUACAAGUGUGAUGAGUGUGGGAAUGCCUUCCGAGGAAUCACCAGCCUCAUUCAGCAUCAGAGAAUCCACACUGGGGAGAAGCCCUACCAAUGUGAUGAGUGUGGAAAAGCCUUCAGACAGAGGAAGAAGACCAGCUACAAGGAAAUACUUCUGAAAAAUCACUCUGAACCCCAAGCUGGAGUGAAUCUUCUCCUGAGCUCUCUCAUUCCGGAAUGGCAAUCUUGUUGCAGGAAAGAUCUCUAAUAGUGACUGAUGGUAAAGGAAGAAGGCUGUGCCUAGAACAAAGAAUCAGGCUGGCAAAGAAAUCGCAAACUUUAAAUUGUUACUCUCUGGAGAUAGCUACCUGGACUUUACAGAGCUGUCAGAAGACUUGGGAAGGUUUGCCAGCAUUGGAAAAAGCCACUUGGACUUCACAGAGCUGUCAGAAGACUUAGGAAGCUUUGCCAGUAGUUCCUGAGACCAGAAAUACAUAUUAUGAAGCAGGUGCUGGAACAGGCCCUGGCCCCUACUUGUGAAGCUGCAGAUAUAGGUAGGAUAAUAUCAUCCAGAAUGUGGAGAUGAGAUGGUGUUACUGAGAAGGAAACUAAGGACUUGGCUCCAAAACAAAAACAAGCAAAAAUCUGGAGAUGCUGAAUUUUGUUGGGGGGAAUGUCUGUAGAACUGCAACAUCAAUGCAGUAAGGGUAGUAAAAGCUUUAGUUUCUGGUGAGUCAUUACUCAGCAUCAUGGAUGGAGUCCACGAUGAAGAGAAUCUCUUCGCAAUCUCUGCAAUCAACAAGUUUUGAAAGGCUUUUGUUUAUAGUGGAACCCUCUUUUCCCCCCAGAAGAACCACCACAAGGAAAAAUGCUGUCAGCAUAAGGAAUGUGGGAAAGUUUUCAGCCACAUGGCCUUAUUUGACUUCAAAGAAUCCAAAUGAGAGAGAGACUGCAUAAAUGUGAUAACUGAGGAGGCCUUUGUUCUGCAAGGAAACCUUAUACAAACAUGUAUGAAGAAUGUAGGAAGACCUUCACCCAGAAGCCAGGACUGACUGUGCACCAGAGAAUCUGCACAAUAAACGUGAUGAAUGUGGAGAUGCUUUCUUCAGCGUUGGAGAAUUCACAGUAAAGGGAAACCCUGCCAGUGUGAUGAGUAUGGAAAAGUCUUCAGAGGUUGGAACUUGGGAAAAAUCAGUGAGUGAAUUCAUAUUAGAGAGGCUCUUAUAAAUGAGAGGAUUAUGGGAACUUGUAUAGACAGAGAUCAGACCUCAAUAAGGGAAUCUCCACAGUAUUGAAAAGUUAAUAUAAUUAGUGUAAGUGGGCAAGUUGUAUGGGGAAUGGGUAGUCUAAAUUGCUCAUUUUAGCUAGUAAAAACAUUAAAUGAAUUUCUUAGAUCAAGAAAAGGAAAUGUUAGAAGUUAUUUUCCCUUCCAGAGGGGUCUAUAUGUGUAAGCAAUCAGGACUUUUGAAAUAAGUUGCAUCUCUGGAUUUGUGAUCUGUCUCCUGGAUGAUUAUCUCUGUUUUGGGGGACAGGCAUUUUUUCUUCAUGCCUGUUCUAGUCUCAUCUCAUAUCUUUAAUUCAUUCAGCAAGUAUACACAAUAGUAUUAUCGUCUACUGUUUGUUGUAAAUAUAUAUAUAUAUAUAUAUAUAUAUAUUAUUUUCUUUAUGGUCUGAGUAGGCUUGUAUUGGUACCCUAGGACACAAAAAUCACAUAUAUCCUGUUUCAGUAAAUGUAGUGAAAGGAACUACAUUAUUAAAUUGCUGGGCAUUUCUAUAAAUUUGGGACUACCUUUAUAUUCUCCAACACAAGACCAUGUAGGUGUCCGUUCAGAGAGUAUAUUUUUCCAGCUUUGGCUUCUUUAUUUUCUUUCUUUCUUUAUUUUUUUGAGAUGGAGUCUUGCUCUUGUUGCCCAGGCUGGAGUGCAAUGGCACGAUCUUGGCUCACUGCAACCUCCGCCCCCUGGGUUCAAGCGAUUCUCCUGCCUCAGUCUCCCGAGUAGCUGGGAUCACAGGUGCUUGCCACCACGCCCAGCUAAUUUUUGUAUUUUUAGUAGAGACGGGGUUUCACCAUGUUGGCCAGGCUGGUCUCGAACUCCUGACCUCGUGAUCCGCCCACCUUGGCCUCCCAAAGUGCUGGGAUUAUAGGCAUAAGCCACUGUGCCCAGCUGUUUUGUUAAGAUAGAAAAAUAUACUUCACAUGUAGCGUAUUGACAGGUAAUGACUAAUAUUUUUUCUUAUAGCUAACACAUAAUAAACAUUGUGAAGACUGAUAUGUUAAGUAACUUGCUUAUUCUUUUCAGUUCUAAAACCUAUAGGAAAGAAUCUUUAGAAGCUGUCGACAAGUUGAUAAUGUAGCCCAAUCUCUACCCAUGAUAGGAGAGUAAGGCUUACAUAUUUUAUAGUAGGGCACUAAAUACAGGAACCGUGUAUUUAAAAACUUUUUAGUGAUUUUCUCAGAAUUCUAGGUUUCUCUCUGCUGUACAUCCCUAAAUCUUUUGCAUAGGUAUUAAUACAUUCAUUAUUUUUAAAGAUGGACUGCAUUCUGUAAAAGGCUUUUCCAGUAUCUGCAAAUCACACAGUUUUUUUUAACUCUAUUACUAUUAUAUAAAAUGAUUUCUUAAUAUUGAACCAACCUUGCAUUCCUAGAAUAAACCUCACUUAGCCAUGAUAUGUUAUUUUCUUAAUGUAUUAAUGGGUUUACUUGUUAAUAUUUUACUUAGUACAUUUCCUUCAAUAUUCGUGUAAAAUUGGUCCAUAAUUUUUAUACUAUAUUUUUCAGGUUUAGAUUUCACUCUUUUACUUGCUUCAUAAAAAUAAUUUAAGUCUGUGUUCAUUUUUAAUGAUCUAGAACAAUUUAUGAAGCAUCGGAACUAGCCAGUCUUUGAAGGAUAGAUUCUCAUGUGAAACCUUCUGGGUCAUAUGCUUUUUUGUGGAAUAAUUUCUUGGUAACUUCCUCUAUUCUAUGAAAAUUAUCUAUUCAGGCUUUCUAUUUAUAAUGGGUUCCAUUUUGGUAAUCUUUAUUUGCCUUGGAAAUUAUCCAUUUCAUCAAAACUUUCAAAUUUAUUUGCCUAGAAUAUGCAAUGUAACCUAAUGACUUUUAAAACAAAUUUUAUUUUUUUAGAAACAGGGUCUUGUUCUUUUACCCAGGCUGGAGUGCAAUGGUGCAAUCAUAGCACACUGCAGCCUUGAACUCCUGGGCUCAAGGAAUCCUUCACCUCAGUCUCCCAAGUAGCUGGGACUACAGGCACACACCACCACACCCAGCUAAUUUUUUUGUUUGUUUUUGUAGAAACAGGGUCUCCCUUUGUUGUUCACACUGGUCCUAAACUCCUGGCCUCAAGUGAUUCUGCUGCCUCAGCCUUCCAAAGUGCUGCGAUUACAGGCAUGAGCUACCAUAUCUGGCUUCCUUAUGACUUUUUAAACAGCUUUAUGGAAGGAAAUUGAUAUGUAGUGAACUGCAUAAGUGUACAGCUUGAUAAGUUCUAACACGUUUACACCUGUGAAACAGUCACUACCAUCAAUAUGUCACCCAAAAAAGCUUCCUCAUGUCCCAUGAUAAUUCCUCCCACCCUUACCUGCACUCUUCCCCCGUCUCCAGGCAACCUCUGUUCUGCCUUCUAUUGCUAAUUUAGUUUGCAUUUUCUGGAAUUUUAUAUCAAUGGACUCAUAGAGAAUGUUCUGUUUCAGGUGUGGGGUCUUGCUUCUUUUAUUCAGCAUAAUGAUUUCAACAUUCAUCCAUGUUGUUGGAUGUAUAAAUAAUAUAUAUAUAUUUUUUGAGAUGGAGUCUCACUCUGUUGCCAGGCUGGAGUGCAGUGGCAUAACCUUGGCUCACUGCAACCUCUGCCUCCCAGGUUCGAGCAAUUCUCCUGCCUCAGCAUCCCAAGUAGCUGGGACUAUAGGCGCGUGCCACCACGCCCAGUUAAUUUUUGUAUUUUUAGUAGAAAAGGGGUUUCACUAUAUUGGCCAGGAUGGUCUCGAUCUCUUGACCUCAUGAUCUGCCCGCCUUGGCCUCCCAAAGUGCUGGGAAUACAGGCGUGAGCCACCGCACCCGGUCUGCUUUUGGAAUAAUUUUAUCAGCUAUGCACCAGGUCUCUUGCCAAAUAUUUGCACUACAGAAGUGUGAAAUAUUUACAGUUUAUUGGCUUGUAUUUCCUGCAUUGGUCCUUUUAUUUUCUUUUAUCAUGGGCUCCGAAUUUAUCUAUUCUUAGAAGGUUUUGCAUUCACUCUCAAUCUAAUGUAUAUAUCUUAUUCAAUCGAGUUAUUUGGUCAGCUUAUUUUGUAAUUGGAAUCGUUAUUGAACUCCUACUUUAAUGAAGGUAACACUGAAGAUUCAUAAUAGCUACUUAGUCUAAUUUUAUUUAGAUAUUCUAAUCUGUUUUUCUUUCCAGUUCAAUAUUAUACUAGUAAAAUCAUCUACAUAAUAUCUCUAUUUCCUCGAAUAUACUGAGUUUAAUUUUUUCUCAUAGGAAUUCUGUACAAGUUAGUCAUUUAAGAUAUAAACAGUCUUCAGAAAUGGUAGAAGAGUUCCCAGCCAUUUUACCACAGGACUGAUGCUCUCUUCCCCCACCCUAUUUUUGAAAUAUUGUGUCUGUUAAAAUAUAAUUAUUUAAGACUGGGCACAGUGGCUCAUGCCUGUAAUCCCAGCACUUUGGGAGGCCAUGGCAGGCGGAUCACCUGAGGUCAGGAGUUCAAGACCAGCCUGGCCAACAUGGUGAAACCCCGUCUCUACUAAAAAUACAAAAAUUAGUCGGAUGUGGUGGUGGGUGCAUGUAAUCCCAGCUACUUUGGAGGCUGAGGCAGGAGAAUCACUUGAACACAGGAGGCGGAGGUUGCAGUGAGCCAAGAUCAAGCCACUGCACUCCAGCCUGGGUGACAAGAGUAAGACUCUGUCUCAAAAAAAUAAUAAUAAAAUAAAAAAUAUAUAUAUAAUUAUUUAAUAUCUUUAACUUACUUUCCUGUUUCUUAUUAACUCUAGAAAAGCCAAGUUCAGUCACUCUCAUUAUCUGAUGUAUGUCUAUAAUAACAAUCCAUCAGCCACAUAAGCCACCCAAUCCGAAUUACCUGAUUUACUCAUUCAACAAAUAUUUACGUGUCAGGAAAUGUAGGUAUUGUUAUUAAAGUGGUAAAUAAAACAUGCAAAAUUUCUAGUUUUCACAAAGAAUCUACAUUCUAAGAGAUGUAGGCCAGUUGACCAAUGAACAAGUGAAAAAUAAUGUAUGGGCAUCCAGUUCCUGACAAGAUGGAGCAGAUACACUUCUCCCUAUUUCUCACACAAAGUACAGCUAAGACCCCUAGGCAUUAUAUGUAAAACAAACAAGACACUGCAAAAAAGGCAUUUAGGACCCUCAGGAUGCAGAGAAAGACACAGGUGAAUUCCCUUGGUAUUUGUAUUUUUAUAUUUUUGUUUCUGCCUCAUAUAUCUUCCAGUGACAGUGGAGACCGCAUGAAUUGAGUGCUAGAGAAGCCUGUAACUCAAAAGUGCUGCAGUUGAUUCUACCCAGCGAGUUACUUCAGUAAUUGGAUUUUUCAGUUAUAAAAUUUCUAUUUGCUCUUCUUUGAAAAUAUCUUCUAGUUUUUGCUGAGACUAUUUCUUUGCUGAGACCUUUUUUUCAAACAUUUAACUAAAUACUUCCUGAAGCAUUUUUAUGGUGACUGCUUUAAAAUCCUUGUCAAAUAAUUCCAUCCAACAACAGCAGAAUACAUUUUUUCUUUAAAUAUCCACAGAACAUUCACAAAGAAUGACUACAUACUGGGCCAUAAAACAAACCUAACCAAAUUUGCAAGAUUGAAAUCAUACAGAGUAUAUUCUCUGGCCACAAUGGAACCAAACUAAAAAUAAUAGACAACAGGAGAAUCUCCAAACAUUUGGGACUAGACAAAACAGUUCUAAAUAAUGCCUAAGUCAAGGAAUAAGUCUCCAAGGAAAAAAUAAAUUAAACAUAGGCCUGAAUAAAAAUACAGCUUUUAAUAUGUGAGACAUAGCUAAAGAAUGCUGAAAGGGAAAGUUAGAGCUCUGACUGCUUAUGUUAGAAAAGAGGAAUAGUCUCAAAUCAAUAAUUAAGUUCCUACCUCAAGAAACUAAAAGAUCAAAGGCAAAGCAAACCUAAGGCAGCAGAAAGAAGGAAAUAACAAAGAUAACAGAAAUCAAUGAAAUUAACAGGAUAACAAUAGAGAAAAUAGUUGAAGCAAGAAAACCUGUUAAAGUUUAUAUCAUAGAAGCAGAGAGCAGAACAGCAGGUUGCCAGAAACUGGAGAGGGGAGGAUGGGGAGAGGCUGGUCAACAGGUACGAAGUUACAAUUAGAUAGGAGGAAUAAACUCUGGGGUUCUAUUGCACAGUAGGGUGACUGUGGUUAACAGUAAAAUACUGUAUAUUAUAAAAUAGCAAGAAGAGAGGCUUUUGAGUAUUCUUACCACAGAGAAGUGAUAAAUGCAUGAAACGAUGGAUACACUACACUGAUUGGAUCAUAAUACAACAUAGAUAUUUAUGAAAAUGUCAAAUUGUACUCCAUAAAUACGUAAAAUUACAUUGUGUCAAAUACAUAAAAAAUUUUUAAAUCGAUAAAACAGAUAAACCUCUAGCAAGACUGGCAAAGAUAAAAAGAAAGACCAAAUCACUAAUAACAGGAAUGAGAAAAGGGAUAUUAUUACAGAUCCUGCAUCGUUUGAAGGAUCAUAAAGGUAAAUUUGAAAAUUUGCACUCAUAACUUUGACAACUUAGAAGAAAUGAACCAAUUCUUCAAAAAGUCCAAUUGGCCAAGAUGAAACAGAUAGUUUGAGUAGUCUUAUAAUCAUUAAAGAAAUUGAAUUCAUAAUCUAAAAGUUUCCAAAUCAUCAGGCCCAGAUGCCUUCAUUGGAGAAUUCUACCAAACAUGCGAAGAAAAAUUAGCACCAAUUUUACAAAACAUGUUCCAGAAAGUAGAAGAGGAAAGUAUACAUUCCAACUCAUUUUAUAAGGUUAGAAUUACUCUGAUACCAUAAGCAGACAAAGGCAGCACAAAAAAGAAAACUACAAUCUAGUAUCCUUCAUGAACUUAGAUGCAAAAGUUCUCAACAAAAUAUUAGCAAAUUGAAUCUAGGUAUUUAUAAAAAGAAGUAUACACCAUGACUAAGGGGGAUUUUUUUCCAUUACAAAAGGUGGUUUCAAUAUUUAAAAAUCAGUGUAUUUCAUCACAUCAACAUAUAUAUAUAUAUAACAGAAAUAUUGUAUAACCAUACCAUUGGCACAGAAAAAGCAUUUGACAAAUCCAACACCCAUUCAUGACAGAAACUUACAGCCCACUAGAAAUAGAAACUUCCCAUUUCAUAAAGAACAUCUACAAAACAUUUACAGAUAACUUCAUACUUAACAGCAAAAGACUAUGCUUUAACCAUAACAUUGGCAUCAAGGCAAGAAUGUCCACUCUCACCACUCUUAUUCAACAUAAUACGGAAAAUAUAAGCCAAUGCAAUAGGCAAAAAAUGAUUAAAAGCAUACAGAUUGCUUGUAGAUUUCAUGUACACACAUUAAAGAAAAGACAAAUUGGAAACAAACCUGCUCCUAUUUGCAGAUUAUAUAAUUGUGUACAUAGAAUAUUCCAAAUAAUCUAUUACAAUUUUUGAAUCUAAUACAAAAUAUAGCUAGAACUAGUAAAUGAAUUCAGCAAGGUUGCAAGAUAUAAAUCAACAUGCAAAUAACAAUCCUAUUUUUAUGUACUAAUAAUGAACAUUCGGACAUUGACAUUUAAAAUGCAAAGCCAUUUGUAAUCACUCCAAAGAUAAUAUAGAAGUCUAACAAACAUGUACAGGAUCUGUAUGCUGAUAAAAUGCUGAAGAAAGAAAUCUGAAUAAAUGGAGAGACAUAUCAUGUUUGUGGAUUAGAAGAUACAACAUGGUGAAGAUAUCGAUUCUUCCUAUGUUUAUAGGUUUGACACAGUUCCUAUCAAAAUCUCAGCAAAAAUUUUUGUAGAUAUAAAUUUAUUCUAAAAUUUGCAUGGUAAGGCAAAGGACUAAUAACUAAAUUUUGAAAAAGAAUAAAGUGAGAGGAAUCACUGUACCCGAUGUCAAGGUAUACUAUAAACCUACAGUGAUCAAGAGAGUUGGAUAUUACAGGACAGACAUAUAGUUGAAUGAAACAGACUGGAGGACCUAGAAAUAGAUCCAAACAAAAACGCCUAAUUCUUGACAACGGUGCAGAAGCCACUGAAUGGUGAUAGAGCACUGAACAUCCGUAAACCAAACAACAACAACAAACUCAAAAUGGGUCAUGCGCUAAAAUAAUACCUAAAACUUGAGACCUCUUAGAAGCAUCAGAGCCUAGGACUAGGCAAAGAUUCUUAAAAUUGACAUCAAAAGCAUAAUUCAUUAAAUGAAAUGUUUAUGACUUUGUAUUUAUCAAAAUGUAAAAUUUAUGCUCUGAAAGACCCUGUUAAAAAGAUGAAAAGACCGCCGGGCGCAGUGGUUCACGCCUGUAAUCCCAGCACUUUGAGAGGCUGAGGCCGGUGGAUCACGAGGUCAGGAGAUCAAGACCAGCCUGGCCAACAUGGUGAAACCCCAUCUCUACUAAAAAUACAAAAAUUAGCUGAGCGUUGUGGCAUGUGCCUGUAGUCCCAGCUACUUGGGAUGCUGAGGCAGGAGAAUCACUUGAACCCGGGAGGCAGAGGUUGCAGUGAGCUGAGAUCGUGCCGCUAUACUCCAGCCUGGUGACAAAGUGAGACUCUGUCUCAAAAAAAAAAAAAAAUGAAAAGAAAGCUACAGACAGGGAAAAAUAUUUGCAAGCCAAGUCUUUGACAGAGGACUUGUAACUAGAAUAUAAAAAGAAUUCACCAAAUCUCAACAGUUAAACAGCAAACAAUUUAACUAGGUAUGGGCAAAAAUCAUGAAUACACAUUUUGCCGAAGAGUGUCCAACAAUGGGCAGCUACUUGCGUCAUUCACUGGGCCAUUUAUGCCCCAGUGAUUAGCGUCUUCCGGGCACCCUCACUCACAAGGUUGCUUAACUUUUUUCUCUUCAUUGCAAGUUUUCCCCAAACUCUUAUAAGCUGAAUGUAGACACUUAAAAGAAAGAAAAAAAAAACAGAUAAAAGAAGUUUUGUGCAGACAUUUAAAAGGUUACAAUAGCAACUGUCAGGAGAGCACAUAGUCUGUUGGCCGGGAGCUCGCGGAGUGCCAAGUAAUGUGGAGGAGUCCAUCAUGCAGAGUUAGCUGGAGCACCAGAGAAUCUUCUUUCCUUAAAAAACUGAGGUUGCGAUAUAGGCCAGAGAGAAAUCAAGGGAGCACAGAAAGACCUGUUCCACACUGGUAAGCACAGAUUUGCACUUUCAUUUUUAAGUGCAAAUCAUCCACUCAGUCAUAACACAUUUUUUUUUUUUUUUUGAGACAGGGUCUUGCUCUGACGCCUAGGCUGGAGUGCAGUGUCACCAUCACAGCUUGGCUCACUGCAGCCUAGACUUCUGGGCUCAAGGGAUCCUCCCACCUCAGCCUCCUGAGUAGCUGAGACCACAGGCAUGUGCCACUAUGCCCAGAUAAUUUUUUUAAUUCUUGAAAUUUUUUGUAGAGACAAGGUCUCGUUAUGUUGCCCAGGCUGGUCUCAAACUCCUUGGCUCAAGCCAUACUGCUGUCUGGGCCUUCCAAAGUGUUGGGAUUAGAGGCAUGAGCUACCAUGCCUGGCCUGCAACAAACUUUUAAUAACAACUAAGGCAUUGGGCAACUGGGUUCAAUCCUACCUAAAGUAACUUAACCGCUAAACAUUCAUCAGCAGGUGGCAUAUGAUAUUGGAUCCUGGAGAGUCUAUUCACAUCCUAUAAUCUAGCCAAUGCAGUAUAGGUAUUAAUACAAUGGGAACACUCUUACUCCUUCCUUCUUGCCCACCACUUAGGCAAGAACAUGUGCUACCAGAUCCUGAGAAGUCUCAUCAUGUGUCCUAUCCAGUCCUGUGGGAGCACAUCUGUCUUUCUUCUGAAAGGGCAUUGUAAUGUCACCAGCCCCAUGUUUGGCCCCAAUUUGUCAAGGAAAAGCUAGCAUAUAGUCAUAUGUCGCUUAAUGAAAGAGGUUAUGUUUUGAGAAAUGCAUCAUUAGACAAUUUUGUCAUUGUGUGAACAUCGUAGAGUGUACUUACACAAACUUAGGCUGUUACUCCUAGGUUACAAACCUGUAGAGCAUGUUACCAUACUGAAUUGUAACCCAAUUGUGUUUGUGUAUCUAAACAUAGAAAAGGUACAGUAAAAAUAUUAUUAUAAUC